Molecule: ribosomal RNA, 433 nt
Filed under: uncultured bacterium
Lineage: Bacteria
Description: partial 16S ribosomal RNA
Rfam family: Bacterial small subunit ribosomal RNA
Source: RNAcentral
AGCGAACGCUGGCGGCAGGCUUAACACAUGCAAGUCGAGCGGACCUUUCGGGGUCCGCGGCGGACGGGUGAGUAACGCGUGGGAACGUGCCUUCCGGUUCGGAAUAACCCUGGGAAACUAGGGCUAAUACCGGAUACGCCCUUAUGGGGGAAGGUUUACUGCCGGACGAUCGGCCCGCGUCUGAUUAGCUUGUUGGUGGGGUAACGGCCUACCAAGGCGACGAUCAGUAGCUGGUCUGAGAGGAUGAUCCGCCACACUGGGACUGAGACACGGCCCAGACUCCUACGGGAGGCAGGAGUGGGGAAUAUUGGACAAUGGGCGCAAGCCUGAUCCAGCCAUGCCGCGUGAGUGAUGAAGGCCGUAGGGUUGUAAAGCUCGUUUAUCCGGGACGAUAAUGACGGUACCGGAGGAAUAAGCCCCGGCUAACUUCGUG